AUGGUGCUGCGAAAGUUACCCGGUGUCUCCGCAUCGGGCAUGGGGCUUCGUCUUUCUCAGAAAUUCGUCUUUCUGCUGUUCCUCUCGGGCUUGGUCACUCUGUGCUUCGGGGCGCUUUUCUUCUUACCCGACAGCGUGCGUCUGAAGCGCAUUUUCCUCUCCAAAAAUGAGAGUCCCGCGGUGACUGUGGGCUCCGAGAAUGAGCUUUCCAAAAAGGUGCCCGGGGAUCCAGAGCACCAGCGGGCGGGAUUAAAAGGUGCUGAGGCCAAUCUCAAACUGAAAGUGAGCCGCACGCCGUCGGUCACCCAUGGAGCGAGAACCGUGGAGAGAUCGGUUGGGAGCCGGGCGCAGGACGAGUGGAGCCCGGCGAGGGCGCAUGAACCAGCGGCCAGGGACGAGCGGGUCACCGCGGCGGCUCAUAACCAGGAACACAGCAGCUCUUUCAACUAUGAGGCGUUUAAAAAGUGCCUCCUGAAACCACCUAUCGGAAAGGACCAGGGGACUCCAUCUGACUCCGGGACGCUUCAGAGGAGGGAGAAAGUCAAAGAGAUGAUGAAGUUUGCCUGGGACAACUAUAAGCUUUACGCUUGGGGCAAGAACGAACUCCGACCUCUGACCAGGAACGGACACAUCGGGAACAUGUUUGGUAAGUGAAAUGAGGAUUUUACAUCCUAUUUUACUGUUUCUUUAGGGUGUAUUAAGUCGUAUUUUGCAGAUGAUUUUGUUUCUCUGCUCACAGGAUUGAAUAUGGUUUAUCAACAUGACAUCCCAAUGCAAAAGUUGUUUUAUUAAUGCUUAUAGGCUACCCUUAGCCCAUUUUGUAAAAUAUUGUGUUGCUUGUUCAUACUUAUUCAACUACUUAUACAUAGUUUUGGAGAUUUUUUGGGAAUUUUUGUUUAUGUUCAAUCCAUCUAAAUUUGUUAACUUAAUCAAUUUUUGUUGGAACAACACAAAUGAAGUGUGUGCACUCUUGCAUUUAUUUUUUUUACAGUGUAUACAUCCUUUAUUUAUUUGGUGGUAUGCAAAGAAAUGCAUUAAAUAAUCCUGUAAGUGGCAUUAGUGUGUAAAGAACUAAAGUUGUUGUGGUCAUACUGCCCCCUAGUGUUCAUUUCACAUACAAACUACAGUCUAAUGUGCGUUGAAGUACGUUUUUGCAGUUUCACAAACAUAUAAACUAAAGCACAUAUUUCCCCUGAGCCUGUGUUGGUUAUUUAUCCUUUAUAUACGGCUUGAUAAUUGAAGUGGCAUCUAAAAUGGACUGUGUUUUUGCUUUGUGUUUAUUAGAGUAUUGAGGGAUCACUUGCUGCACAGUUCUGAGAUCAGAGUCUCUCUGUAUUAACUGUGAGCGCUUGGUGUUUUACACAGUACUGUGUGUGUGCUGACAGAGUUGCUGACUGUGUAGAAAUGUUAUAAAUGUGGUUGGCUUUUUCUAUUAGGAUGCUGUCGCUGCAUGUGUGGAUGAUAAGACUGAAUACAAUUCAGAGCAAACUGACCACAACAUACAGGAUGUUGAAUUACAGUUUGAAUGAUGGAAGGGGGAAAAAAUAUACCGCAACAAAGUAUUUUCGUUCGUUUAUUUUUUUUUAUUUUUUUUUCUUGGUGAUAAUCCAAGGCUAGAAUGAAAAAACAAACAAACAAACAAACAAACAAACAAACAAACAAACAAACAAAUAAACAACCAAACAAACAAAUUAAAUUCAGAUUCAAACAAAUACAUAAACAUAGUUUAU
RNAcentral lists this long non-coding RNA (1730 nucleotides) under Danio rerio (zebrafish). Its description in RNAcentral is "lncRNA (ENSDARG00000117288.1)". The record is from RNAcentral. Lineage: Eukaryota; Metazoa; Chordata; Actinopteri; Cypriniformes; Danionidae.